GAUGAACGCUAGCUACAGGCUUAACACAUGCAAGUCGAGGGCAGCAUUUCGCUAGCAAUAGUGAAGAUGGCGACCGGCGCACGGGUGAGUAACACGUAUCCAACCUGCCGAUAACUCGGGGAUAGCCUUUCGAAAGAAAGAUUAAUAUCCGAUGGUAUAUUAAAACCGCAUGGUUUUACUAUUAAAGAAUUUCGGUUAUCGAUGGGGAUGCGUUCCAUUAGUUGUUGGCGGGUAACGGCCCACCAAGACUACGAUGGAUAGGGGUUCUGAGAGGAAGGUCCCCCACAUUGGAACUGAGACACGGUCCAAACUCCUACGGGAGGCAGCAGUGAGGAAUAUUGGUCAAUGGGCGAGAGCCUGAACCAGCCAAGUAGCGUGAGGGAUGAAGGCUCUAUGGGUCGUAAAACCUCUUUUAUAUGGGAAUAAAGUUUUCCACGUGUGGAAUUUUGUAUGUACCAUAUGAAUAAGGAUCGGCUAACUCCGUG
RNAcentral lists this ribosomal RNA (485 nucleotides) under uncultured bacterium. RNAcentral's name for it is "bacterial SSU rRNA". It matches the Rfam family "Bacterial small subunit ribosomal RNA", at positions 28 to 507 of the family's 1533-position model. The record is from RNAcentral.